AAUCAAGAAGAGGUGAGUGAGUUUCGCAAGGUAUGCUACCCUUCCUUUUUUGGCGGUUUUACCUCGUAGUAACUUUCCAGAAAAACGAAAGGGUUAUGAUGAGAGAUUAUGUCAUACCCUGGCACAUGCUUUGUCCAAUGGACCAUGGAAGGGACUUUACUUGGCUGACGAGUACGCAAUGUAUUCUACCCUCAAAAGCAAUAUGAUUUCAGUGAGGGGGACAUGCUCUCUAUCAGGAGGUGGUGGUUGGACAGCUGUUGGAGACCUUUAUGCUUGAAAGCCCUGCAGAACUAGCUGGCUCCUUCUCACCCUCUCCAUCUCCCCAUCUCAGUC
This is a long non-coding RNA of Gadus macrocephalus (Pacific cod), 333 nucleotides long. RefSeq lists it as uncharacterized. The transcript has 5 exons. The record is from RefSeq and is a predicted model, not a curated record. NCBI's taxonomy places the organism in Eukaryota, Metazoa, Chordata, Actinopteri, Gadiformes, Gadidae.